RNAcentral lists this long non-coding RNA (847 nucleotides) under Homo sapiens (human). RNAcentral describes it as "HSALNT0406967". Lineage: Eukaryota; Metazoa; Chordata; Mammalia; Primates; Hominidae. The record is from RNAcentral.
UUUUAUCAGGGGGUUCCGCUUUUGCAUCUUCCUCAUUUGCUCUUGCUGCUGCCAUGUAGGAAGUGCCUUUCACUUCCCACCAUGAUUCUGAGGCCUCCCCAGCCAUGUGGAAAUGUUGCCGCUAUAAACAAUAAAGCAAGCUCCUGGGAUGCCAGAGGAAGCCCUCAGGCAGAGUUUAAGAAGGAAGAGAAGCAGGAGAGGCAGCUAUGGCAAAGAAGACAAUGGCAGGACCUUGCAGUGGCAACCUAUCAGCAUACCAAAAACUGCACACUGUAAAGCUGCAGGGAAUAUCAGGCAGAAGAAAAGUGGAAAGGGCAUCAACAGCAUCUGCUACAUUCAGGACACUACUCACCUUUACAGGAGAUUGUGAGGAUCAGAGAUAAGAAAUAUGAAGUGUCUGGUUCAUAACAGGGACUCAACAAAUGGGAGCAAUGGUGGCAAAGAUGCCCUAGAAGAAAGAGGAGGCUGGGCACUACUAAAUGGAAGAACCUGCCAGUAACCCAGGCUGGCCAACCCAGUGUUCCUCCUCUCCUCUAGGUGUAUGCCUCCAGGCGUGUGCAGGUGAGCUGCUCAACACAGACUGCUUACACUGUUGCUAAAUUGUUGGUAUGAUUUUAGAGGAGGUUUCUGUUGAAUUUGCAGAGCAAUAAGAUAAACCCAGCCUGUGUCAUUGAGCUGCCACGUUCAAGUGUCCAUGAUGCCUUCCAUGGGCCUGAGUUACCUUUGUUUCAUGGGCCUCUUCCUCCAGUAAAAAAAAAAAAAAAAAUACAAAAUAUGCUGUAUGACCAGAUUGGUGUAAAGACAAAUACAUUAGUAUUAUACAUUAAAACUUUUUAUUGGACCUAAA